RNAcentral lists this ribosomal RNA (1342 nucleotides) under uncultured bacterium. RNAcentral describes it as "16S ribosomal RNA". It matches the Rfam family "Bacterial small subunit ribosomal RNA", at positions 28 to 1378 of the family's 1533-position model. The record is from RNAcentral.
GACGAACGCUGGCGACGUGCUUAACACAUGCAAGUCGAACGGAAAGGCCCUGCUUUUGUGGGGUGCUCGAGUGGCGAACGGGUGAGUAACACGUGAGUAACCUGCCCUUGACUUUGGGAUAACUUCAGGAAACUGGGGCUAAUACCGGAUAGGAGCUCCUGCUGCAUGGUGGGGGUUGGAAAGUUUCGGCGGUUGGGGAUGGACUCGCGGCUUAUCAGCUUGUUGGUGGGGUAGUGGCUUACCAAGGCUUUGACGGGUAGCCGGCCUGAGAGGGUGACCGGCCACAUGGGACUGAGAUACGGCCCAGACUCCUACGGGAGGCAGCAGUGGGGAAUAUUGCACAAUGGGCGGAAGCCUGAUGCAGCAACGCCGCGUGCGGGAUGACGGCCUUCGGGUUGUAAACCGCUUUCGCCUGUGACGAAGCGUGAGUGACGGUAAUGGGUAAAGAAGCACCGGCUAACUACGUGCCAGCAGCCGCGGUGAUACGUAGGGUUCGAGCGUUGUCCGGAUUUAUUGGGCGUAAAGGGCUCGUAGGUGGUUGAUCGCGUCGGAAGUGUAAUCUUGGGGCUUAACCCUGAGCGUGCUUUCGAUACGGGUUGACUUGAGGAAGGUAGGGGAGAAUGGAAUUCCUGGUGGAGCGGUGGAAUGCGCAGAUAUCAGGAGGAACACCAGUGGCGAAGGCGGUUCUCUGGGCCUUUCCUGACGCUGAGGAGCGAAAGCGUGGGGAGCGAACAGGCUUAGAUACCCUGGUAGUCCACGCUGUAAACGGUGGGUACUAGGUGUGGGGUCCAUUCCACGGGUUCCGUGCCGUAGCUAACGCUUUAAGUACCCCGCCUGGGGAGUACGGCCGCAAGGCUAAAACUCAAAGGAAUUGACGGGGCCCCGCACAAGCGGCGGAGCAUGCGGAUUAAUUCGAUGCAACGCGUAGAACCUUACCUGGGUUUGACAUGGAUCGGGAGUGCUCAGAGAUGGGUGUGCCUCUUUUGGGGUCGGUUCACAGGUGGUGCAUGCCUGUCGUCAGCUCGUGUCGUGAGAUGUUGGGUUAAGUCCCGCAACGAGCGCAACCCUUGUUCACUGUUGCCAGCACGUUAUGGUGGGGACUCAGUGGAGACCGCCGGGGUCAACUCGGAGGAAGGUGGGGAUGACGUCAAGUCCUCAUGCCCCUUAUGUCCAGGGCUUCACGCAUGCUACAAUGGCUGGUACAGAGAGUGGCGAGCCUGUGAGGGUGAGCGAAUCUCGGAAAGCCGGUCUCAGUUCGGAUUGGGGUCUGCAACUCGACCUCAUGAAGUCGGAGUCGCUAGUAAUCGCAGAUCAGCAACGCUGCGGUGAAUACGUUCCCGGG